This 864-nucleotide ribosomal RNA is filed under the name uncultured anaerobic bacterium. Its description in RNAcentral is "bacterial SSU rRNA". It matches the Rfam family "Bacterial small subunit ribosomal RNA", at positions 29 to 896 of the family's 1533-position model. The record is from RNAcentral.
ACGAACGCUGGCGGCGUGCUUAACACAUGCAAGUCGAACGGAGGUUAUUUUGAAACUUAGUGAUAAAUGACCUUAGUGGCGGACGGGUGAGUAACGCGUGGAUAACCUGCCUGACUGACCGGGACAACACCGGGAAACUGGUGCUAAUACCGGAUACGCUCUUGGGGGCACAUGCUUUUGAGAGGGAAGGAGAAAUCCGCAGACAGAUGGGUCCGCGUCCCAUUAGCUAGUUGGGGGUGUAAGAGACCACCAAGGCGACGAUGGGUAGCCGGCCUGAGAGGGUGGACGGCCACACUGGAACUGAGACACGGUCCAGACUCCUACGGGAGGCAGCAGUGGGGAAUCUUCCGCAAUGGGCGAAAGCCUGACGGAGCAACGCCGCGUGAGUGAAGAAGGCCUUCGGGUCGUAAAACUCUGUCUUCAGGGAAGAAAAAAAUGACGGUACCUGAGGAGGAAGCCCCGGCUAACUACGUGCCAGCAGCCGCGGUAAAACGUAGGGGGCGAGCGUUGUCCGGAAUUACUGGGCGUAAAGGGCGCGUAGGCGGUUAUUUAAGUCAGAGGUGAAAACUACCGGCUCAACCGGUAGCCUGCCUUUGAAACUGGGUAACUUGAGGGCAGGAGAGGGGAGUGGAAUUCCCAGUGUAGCGGUGAAAUGCGUAGAUAUUGGGAGGAACACCAGUGGCGAAGGCGGCUCUCUGGCCUGUUUCUGACGCUGAGGCGCGAAAGCGUGGGGAGCGAACGGGAUUAGAUACCCCGGUAGUCCACGCCGUAAACGAUGGGUGCUAGGUGUAGGAGGUAUCGACCCCUUCUGUGCCGUAGUUAACACAAUAAGCACCCCGCCUGGGGAGUACGGCCGCAAGGUUG